RNAcentral lists this ribosomal RNA (262 nucleotides) under uncultured bacterium. Its description in RNAcentral is "partial 16S ribosomal RNA". It matches the Rfam family "Bacterial small subunit ribosomal RNA", at positions 92 to 354 of the family's 1533-position model. The record is from RNAcentral.
CGACCGGCGCACGGGUGAGUAACACGUAUGGAACCUGCCCGCAGCAGGGAGAUAAGCGGAAGAAAUUCCGUCUAAUACCGCGUAACAACGUUGGGAGGCAUCUCCCGAUGUUUAAAGAUUUAUCGGCUGCGGAUGGCCAUGCGGCGCAUUAGCUAGUCGGCGGGGUAACGGCCCACCGAGGCGACGAUGCGUAGGGGUUCUGAGAGGAAGGUCCCCCACACUGGUACUGAGACACGGACCAGACUCCUACGGGAGGCAGCAG